This 574-nucleotide ribosomal RNA is filed under the name bacterium. RNAcentral describes it as "bacterial SSU rRNA". It matches the Rfam family "Bacterial small subunit ribosomal RNA", at positions 919 to 1502 of the family's 1533-position model. The record is from RNAcentral.
GCCCGCACAAGCGGAGGAGCAUGUGGUUUAAUUCGAUGAUACGCGAGGAACCUUACCUGGGCUAGAACGUAGAGUGACUGCGGGUGAAAGCCUGCUUCCCUUCGGGGCAGUCUACGAGGUGCUGCAUGGUUGUCGUCAGCUCGUGCCGUGAGGUGUCGGGUUAAGUCCCAUAACGAGCGCAACCCCUAUCUUUAGUUGCCAACAGGUCAAGCUGGGGACUCUAAAGAAACUGCCUACGCAAGUAGUGAGGAAGGCGGGGAUGACGUCAAAUCAGCACGGCCCUUACGUCCAGGGCUACACACGUGCUACAAUGGCCGAUACAGAGGGCAGCUACCAGGUGACUGGAUGCAAAUCUCCAAAGUCGGUCUCAGUUCGGAUCGGAGUCUGCAACCCGACUCCGUGAAGUUGGAUUCGCUAGUAAUCGCGCAUCAGCCAUGGCGCGGUGAAUACGUUCCCGGGCCUUGUACACACCGCCCGUCAAGCCAUGGAAGCUGGGGGGACCUAAGGUCGAUAACCGAAAGGAGUCGCCUAGGGUAAAACCAGUGACUGGGGCUAAGUCGUAACAAGGUAACCA